Molecule: long non-coding RNA, 207 nt
Filed under: Physcomitrium patens
Lineage: Eukaryota; Viridiplantae; Streptophyta; Bryopsida; Funariales; Funariaceae
Description: long non-coding RNA (PPAT_LNC005195)
Source: RNAcentral
UUCUUCAUAGGGUUUUGGGAAGACUGAGGCAAUCGUUGCUGAAGUCAAUGUUGUAAUGGUGAAUCGGGAUUUUUAAUGAAGUGGGUUUGAUUACUCUUGACUGUUUUGUGAAAUCGAGUUACGUCUGUGAUUGAAGAAUUAAAAGGGUGUCUAUAGGAUUGAGUAUGCGGAGUGAAUAAAAUUUAUUGGGUUAAUCUAACAAGACAG